GUGGGGAAUCUUAGACAAUGGGGGAAACCCUGAUCUAGCCAUGCCGCGUGAGCGAUGAAGGCCUUAGGGUUGUAAAGCUCUUUCAGCUGGGAAGAUAAUGACGGUACCAGCAGAAGAAGCCCCGGCUAACGCCGUGCCAGCAGCCGCGGUAAUACGGAGGGGGCUAGCGUUGUUCGGAAUUACUGGGCGUAAAGCGCGCGUAGGCGGACCAGAAAGUUGGAGGUGAAAUCCCAGGGCUCAACCUUGGAACUGCCUUCAAAACUCCUGGUCUGGAGUUCGAGAGAUGUGAGUGGAAUUCCGAGUGUAGAGGUGAAAUUCGUAGAUAUUCGGAGGAACACCAGUGGCGAAGGCGGCUCACUGGCUCGAUACUGACGCUGAGGUGCGAAAGCGUGGGGAGCAAACAGGAUUAGAUACCCCAGUAGUCC
RNAcentral lists this ribosomal RNA (425 nucleotides) under uncultured bacterium. RNAcentral describes it as "partial 16S ribosomal RNA". It matches the Rfam family "Bacterial small subunit ribosomal RNA", at positions 354 to 796 of the family's 1533-position model. The record is from RNAcentral.